RNAcentral lists this ribosomal RNA (484 nucleotides) under uncultured bacterium. Its description in RNAcentral is "partial 16S ribosomal RNA". It matches the Rfam family "Bacterial small subunit ribosomal RNA", at positions 30 to 507 of the family's 1533-position model. The record is from RNAcentral.
AUUGAACGCUGGCGGCAGGCCUAACACAUGCAAGUCGAGCGGAUGAAGGGAGCUUGCUCCUGGAUUCAGCGGCGGACGGGUGAGUAAUGCCUAGGAAUCUGCCUGGUAGUGGGGGAUAACGUCCGGAAACGGGCGCUAAUACCGCAUACGUCCUGAGGGAGAAAGUGGGGGAUCUUCGGACCUCACGCUAUCAGAUGAGCCUAGGUCGGAUUAGCUAGUUGGUGGGGCAAAGGCCUACCAAGGCGACGAUCCGUAACUGGUCUGAGAGGAUGAUCAGUCACACUGGAACUGAGACACGGUCCAGACUCCUACGGGAGGCAGCAGUGGGGAAUAUUGGACAAUGGGCGAAAGCCUGAUCCAGCCAUGCCGCGUGUGUGAAGAAGGUCUUCGGAUUGUAAAGCACUUUAAGUUGGGAGGAAGGGCAGUAAGUUAAUACCCUGCUGUUUUGACGUUACCAACAGAAUAAGCACCGGCCAACUUCGUG